RNAcentral lists this ribosomal RNA (506 nucleotides) under uncultured bacterium. Its description in RNAcentral is "bacterial SSU rRNA". It matches the Rfam family "Bacterial small subunit ribosomal RNA", at positions 13 to 510 of the family's 1533-position model. The record is from RNAcentral.
UUGAUCCUUGCUCAGAUUGAACGCUGGCGGCAGGCCUAACACAUGCAAGUCGAGCGGCAGCACGGGGAGCUUGCUCCCUGGUGGCGAGCGGCGGACGGGUGAGUAAUGCAUAGGAAUCUGCCCGGUAGUGGGGGAUAACCUGGGGAAACCCAGGCUAAUACCGCAUACGUCCUACGGGAGAAAGCAGGGGACCUUCGGGCCUUGCGCUAUCGGAUGAGCCUAUGUCGGAUUAGCUGGUUGGUGAGGUAAUGGCUCACCAAGGCAACGAUCCGUAGCUGGUCUGAGAGGAUGAUCGGCCACAUCGGGACUGAGACACGGCCCGAACUCCUACGGGAGGCAGCAGUGGGGAAUAUUGGACAAUGGGCGCAAGCCUGAUCCAGCCACGCCGCGUGUGUGAAGAAGGCCCUCGGGUUGUAAAGCACUUUCAGUGGGGAAGAAAGCCUUCCGGUUAAUACCCGGGAGGAGGGACAUCACCCACAGAACAUGCACCGGCUAACUCCGUGCCA